GAGACAGGAAGAGUUGGUUCAGGUUGAGCUAUUAAGAUCCUAGAAUAUCCUCAUAAGGAGUUUAGAUUCUGUCCUGUGGCUGGUGGAUUUCAUCUAAAAUUUAAGCUUAUAUAAAUAUAUAUUUAUAAUUAUAUAAUUAUAAAUAUAUAAUUAUAUUAUUAAUAUUUAAUAUCAUAAAGGAAGCUCUGACUGUGUGUGUAACUGGGAUGAUGGUAAAAAAGAUAAUCAGGCAGCUCUCUGUGAUAACAUACAAACUGUAGCAGAAAAAGGACUUCUGGAUCAAGAAUAUUGGGAAAGGCUACUUUGCUACCAUUUUCAUCAUUGCAGUCCUCCUUAUUUAAAGCUAUGGAAGAAGCUUUUUUUAGUAACCACAAGAUAGCAUACUUCAUCUACAGAAGUAUAGGUCUGGUUAUUUUAAGAACAUAUGGAUUUGAUCUUUGCCCUAAGUCUAAUAUAGUAUCUUUACAUAAAAAUCUGUAUAACUGCAUGUACACUUUAUUUUUUGUGGGAUUAAAUUUUGUUAAAAAUCAUGGUCCAAAAUGUUUACUAUCUGGAAAAUUGGAGAUUUAUUUCUCCUUACACUCCUCCCGUAUACACAGCACAUGUAUAUUUCUCAGCUUCAUAUUUUUAGUCUUUAAUGAUUGAAUAAUUCAGUAAUAUCAUUUAUCAUGAUAAAUUUGAACUAAGUAGGUAUUUGCAAGUAUUGUUAAUAAAAAAUAGUCUAUACUCAGAAUAUCUCACAAUGUAUAAUAUAGAACAGUAACUCACCCCUUUUACAUUAAUUUAUUUUUUGAGGUGCAUUAAUGUACUAUGUCAUUUUUUUAGUAUCCACUGCCAUAGUUCUGUGACAUUUAGACACAGAAUUAGACAAAUCUAAUUUUAUUGUAGUCCCAAAAGGCUUAAUGUUUGAUCACCCUUCCCUUUCCUUACCAAGUUCCCCUAUCUUCUCUCUCUCAUAUACAUACACAUAAUAUUCCCACAUAAACAAUUUUUUUGGGUGAGAUGUUCUCAUUCUAUUGAGUAGAUAAGAAAUGUAGAAUAAGGACACUGCAGGCAUGAAGAAAAGAAGUAGGGAUUUAACAGUUGGUGCUAAAAAAAUAACAGAGAUGCUCAUUUACUACCCCUCUUGUCCUGGCUCCCAGCAUUCUUUGAAACAAUUUAGGUGGGCCUGACAGUAAUUCCCUGAAAGUGUGCUCCCCUUCUGUACCACCCACCAACCACAACUCAGAUCGUAUUUGACUGUUUUGUGACAUCUCUUCUUAUUUCUCACUCAAGGUUAUACUUGAGGUUGAUUUCAGUUAGAUUUCUACUGUGAAAAUGCUAUGAAUAUGGGUCAGGAAUAAGUCCUGUGUUCUCAUUCAUUAAAAAUUUGGGCUAUGAGAUCAAGAAAAAUCA
This 1395-nucleotide long non-coding RNA is filed under the name Homo sapiens (human). Its description in RNAcentral is "HSALNT0071581". The record is from RNAcentral. Lineage: Eukaryota; Metazoa; Chordata; Mammalia; Primates; Hominidae.